UGUUGCAACCUCAGCUUUUGUGCAAGUCAAUAAAAUACUUUUUCCUUUUGUGUUGUUUGUAGGUUCAUGGCAGUUUUCAUCCCCUCCAUCUAAGAACUGUUUACAAACAUUUGUUAUUAAACUUCGCAGCACCAGAGAAGGGCUGCAUUCAGUACCUGUCUGUCUGCCUGUGACACCGAGAUCUGCUGCUGUUUGCCUGGGGAUGCCCCGUGCUUUGUAUCUGCCAGGCUCAGCGGGGCCGUGACAUCAGACGUUUUCAAAACAAAGAAUUCAAGCCCAACCUGGAUGUUGUACACAGGAGACCUGAAAAUGCAAGAAUCUGUCUCAUCUUAUGGGCCACAGAGCUAAACACUGUCUCUGAAGAGCUUUUGACCCAGCAUGCCCCAUACAGGCAGCAGCUAAACAGAGUUGUGUGCAUUUGGAGUCAGUAUUUUCUCUGA
This 440-nucleotide long non-coding RNA is filed under the name Manacus vitellinus (golden-collared manakin). Its description in RNAcentral is "lncRNA (ENSMVIG00005006371.1)". Lineage: Eukaryota; Metazoa; Chordata; Aves; Passeriformes; Pipridae. The record is from RNAcentral.